GAUGAACGCUGGCGGCGUGCCUAAUACAUGCAAGUCGAACGAGUCUUCGGACUAGUGGCGAACGGGUGAGUAACACGUUGGUACCUGCCCCGAAGUGGGGAAUAACUGGCCGAAAGGUCAGCUAAUACCGCAUAAUACCGCAAGGUUAAAGUAGCAAUACGCUUCGGGAGGGGCCUGCGUCUGAUUAGCUAGUUGGUGGGGUAACUGCCCACCAAGGCGACGAUCAGUAGCUGGAUCGAGAGGUUGACCAGCCACACUGGGACUGAGAUACGGCCCAGACUCCUACGGGAGGCAGCAGUAAGGAAUCUUCCGCAAUGGACGAAAGUCUGACGGAGCGACGCCGCGUGAUUGAUGAAGCCCCUCUGGGGCGUAAAGAUCUUUUAUGAGGGAAGAAGUUUAUUGACGGUACCUCAUGAAUAAGAGGCUCCUAAUCUCGUGCCAGCCGCCGCGGUAA
RNAcentral lists this ribosomal RNA (454 nucleotides) under uncultured bacterium. RNAcentral's name for it is "partial 16S ribosomal RNA". It matches the Rfam family "Bacterial small subunit ribosomal RNA", at positions 28 to 523 of the family's 1533-position model. The record is from RNAcentral.